AACGAACGCUGGCGGCAUGCCUAACACAUGCAAGUCGAACGCCCGUAGCAAUACGGGAGUGGCAGACGGGUGCAAAACGCGUGGGAACCUACCCUUGGGUUCGGAAUAACCGCGGGAAACUGCGGCUAAUACCGGAUACGUCCUUCGGGAGAAAGAUUUAUUGCCCUUGGAGGGGCCCGCGUCUGAUUAGCUAGUUGGUGAGGUAACGGCUCACCAAGGCGACGAUCAGUAGCUGGUCUGAGAGGAUGAUCAGCCACACUGGAACUGAGACACGGUCCAGACUCCUACGGGAGGCAGCAGUGGGGAAUAUUGGACAAUGGGCGCAAGCCUGAUCCAGCAAUACCGCGUGGGUGAUGAAGGCCUUCGGGUUGUAAAGCCCUUUUGGCGGGGACGAUGAUGACGGUACCCGCCGAAUAAGCUCCGGCUAACUUCGUGCCAGCAGCCGCAGUAA
RNAcentral lists this ribosomal RNA (451 nucleotides) under uncultured bacterium. Its description in RNAcentral is "partial 16S ribosomal RNA". It matches the Rfam family "Bacterial small subunit ribosomal RNA", at positions 29 to 523 of the family's 1533-position model. The record is from RNAcentral.